This 468-nucleotide ribosomal RNA is filed under the name uncultured bacterium. RNAcentral describes it as "partial 16S ribosomal RNA". It matches the Rfam family "Bacterial small subunit ribosomal RNA", at positions 28 to 507 of the family's 1533-position model. The record is from RNAcentral.
GACGAACGCUAGCGGCGUGCUUAACACAUGCAAGUCGAACGGAAAGGCCCUGCUUUUGUGGGGUGCUCGAGUGGCGAACGGGUGAGUAACACGUGAGUAACCUGCCCUUGACUUUGGGAUAACUUCAGGAAACUGGGGCUAAUACCGGAUAGGAGCUCCUGCUGCAUGGUGGGGGUUGGAAAGUUUCGGCGGUUGGGGAUGGACUCGCGGCUUAUCAGCUUGUUGGUGGGGUAGUGGCUUACCAAGGCUUUGACGGGUAGCCGGCCUGAGAGGGUGACCGGCCACAUUGGGACUGAGAUACGGCCCAGACUCCUACGGGAGGCAGCAGUGGGGAAUAUUGCACAAUGGGCGGAAGCCUGAUGCAGCAACGCCGCGUGCGGGAUGACGGCCUUCGGGUUGUAAACCGCCUUCGCCUGUGACGAAGCGUGAGUGACGGUAAUGGGUAAAGAAGCACCGGCUAACUACGUG